This is a long non-coding RNA of Zeugodacus cucurbitae (melon fly), 3171 nucleotides long. RefSeq lists it as uncharacterized. Lineage: Eukaryota; Metazoa; Arthropoda; Insecta; Diptera; Tephritidae. The transcript is spliced from 4 exons. The record is from RefSeq and is a predicted model, not a curated record.
ACUCUUGAAUUGGCAAUAGAAGUCAAAUUUCAUACAAAUUUCCUUCCAUAAAUCGAACUUUUUGGUUAGGGCGUAAUACAAAAUUUACAAUUUCACUAUCGAGACAGAAUUUUAAAAGAGUCCCUCUAUAUUGUACGGAUGCGAACAAACAAUAUGAUAUUACACUUAUGGAUUGCAUAAAUGAUCUAACGAAAGCAUGGGAUAUAGACGUCAAGCGCCAAACAAUAGCAAAUUGUAACAAACGAAAUACAGAAUGCAUAUUUUAACGAAUAUAAAAAUAAUAUUUCAUCUUACUGUAAAUGCGAUAUACGCAAUAGAAGCAACAACAACAAUAGUCAACAAAAAGGGCGUAAACAUGGAAUGUGUAAAUACUUGUUGAAUAGAAUAAUAUUAUCUUGACUUAAAACGCAACUAAUUUCCCAUACAGAUAUUUCAAACCUCACACGGCGCGUUAAAGGUACGCAACCUAAUUGAUGUCACUCAUGGUAGCUGCGCAAAAUUUUCGAAGGGAUGGAAGUAUGUGCUACAAGCAAAUCCAGAAUUACGGAGGCACAUGCUGCUACAUCGAUCACAAAUUUACACAUCAGAUAUUUGGUUUAAUGUCACAUUUUUUACGUGCAAUUAAACCUUUUGGUCAACACAAGCACGUGAAGAAUUGGAGCGACAUGGUUUAGGUGCUUUUGUAACAGUUUAUCAUCUCGACGUGUCUCAACUGAGUUUUGCCAAUGAGCUAGAGGGCAAAGCAGAUGCAUUUUUAGACCUAAGUUGGCCGUACCAUUAGCAGUUAAAACAGAAAUCAGAGGGAGGCCCUUUUUUGAUUCAUUUUCACCUUGUAUUGAGAAAUGAUAACGUUGUUGUAUCGCCUUACAAGGACAUGGAUUCACCGAAAUUAGUUCCAUGGGAAUACUACAGCAAAAGCAUGGAUGUUAAGACUGGAAUGGUGUCCGUGGUAGAUUAGUAUUCCUGAAGUAUAAGUUUGCUGGUCUGGUCGAAAAGUUCGAUUUAUGGAAGAACAUUUGUAUGGAAUUUGCCUUCUAUUGCCACUUCAAGAGUUUGAGUUAUAGAAGUUCGAGUUAUGGAAAGAAAUUUGUACGAAAAUUGGUUCCUAAACGCUAUUGCUAACUCAAAAGUUCAAGUUAUGGAGAUCUUCGAGUUAUAGAAGUUCGAGUUAUGGAAGUUCCUCUGUAUAUUAAACUGCUGCACAAGCAGGCUUAAGCUCCAGUUACCCAUACUUGACUUGACUCAGCUUCGAAAAAUUUGACUUGGAAAACUUAGAUGCAGUUAUAUUAAACACAGCGCGUAGAAAUCAGCUGUUUUUGAAUGUUGAGAGAGCACACAAAUGUGACAUUUUAAUUGAUUUGUGAAGUUUGUGAAAAUUUAAUAAAUAAUAAAACAAAUUGUUUUACCGAAUACCUUAAUAAUAAUAAUAAAUUUUAAUAAUGGAUAGUGAUUUAUUCCAAGAACUUGUUUAUUUAAAUAUUCUUCGCCUUCAAAGAAGAAAAGUUUUGAGAAGACGUAAACGCCGCUGGUCCGUUCAUCCAGCUAAUCGGGAUAGAAACCCAAAUGGUUUCUUCUGGAAGAACUUUUUAAAAUUAAAAGAAGACGACCAAAAACUAUUUCUUUUAACACGGAUGAAUCGGACAGUGUACAAUAUUCUUUUAAAUAUAAUUAGUCCGUUUUUUAAAAAACCAAAACAACAAGUUGGCGUCGAGGAGCGAGUGGUUAUAACAUUAAUGUACCUCGCUUAUGGAACACCUUUUGAGGUCAUAGCCUCGAUGCAUAAGUUAGGCAAAACAACAGUGUGGAAUAUCGUACUUGAAACGUGUGAAAUACUUUGGUUACAUCUGUCCCCGAUAUACCUUAGCGAGCCAAGUACCGCACAAUAUAAAGAUAUUGCUGCAGAUUUUUUAAAACUGUGGAAUAUACCCAACUAUAGCAAUCUAAAUUUGGUAAAGCGCUCUUGAAAACAAAUUGCCACUACCACCAAGAGCUCCAUUGUGGAAUGAAUCCUCAACAGAUUUUCCACAUUUUUUUGUGGCCGACGCAGCGUUUCCGUUGAAGGAAAACUUAAUGCGACCUUACCCCGGUGCACAGCUGCCACGAAACAAAGCAAUUUUCAAUUACCGGUUAUCGCGAGCUCGUAGAGUAAUCGAAAAUAGCUUUGGUAUUUUAACCGCUCGAUGGCGUGUUCUACGAAAGGUCAUAGACUUUAGCCCAAAGAACUGCGAAACAAUUGUGUUAACCUGCUUGGUUCUUCACAUUUUUGUAAUGUUGAAUGACCAUGAUCGUUGGUAUUGUCCAGAUACAUUUGUAGACACAGACACCGCAGACCAUGGAAUAUUGGAGGGAGAAUGGCGUGAAGAUUUAGAGAGUGUUGGAGGUGCAUUACAUUCAAUAAGUUCAACUCGACGCAAUGCAUCUUGUAUCGCAUUCCGUGUAAGGGAUUUUUUGGCAGAAUAUUUUAUUAACCAGGGAGCAGUUUCAUUUCAAGAAGAUCGUAUUUAGUGUAUAUUUAUUUUAUUUAUAUUUAUAUUUAUUUAUAUCGUAUUUAAUGUGUAAAAUUGUAAUCCAAGUAUGAAGUACUAUACUUUUUGUUACGUUAACUUUUUUAUGAUAUUUUAUUAAACCAUAUGUUUACAUGACUUAGUAACAUAUUUUUCCGCGCUUUGUAUGUGUGUGGUGAAUCUUAGUAACCCUCAUUAAUUUUAUUAAACUUGUAACAAACCAAUUGUAUUUCAUCAAAGAGAAUUUCCAUUUAAUAAACCUAAUAAUAAUUUUUAUAACGUUUUACAAAUAUCGUGUGUUUGCCCCUUUCACAUACUGGUUAUAAUUCCGCACGUAAGUAUACCUGUGUCAUACGUAUACACCAUAGAUAUAUCUAUAAAUAUUGUUUUAUUUACUGAAAAAGAUGUUAAUUAUCUGUAUUAGGAAGAUUACACAGGCAUAUGGCAAAUGAAUUCUGUAUAGUAAAGUUUAUUACGAAAAUAUAUAUGUAUAUAUUUUAUUUACCGACAAAAUCAUAAUUAUGACGGUAUCUAAUUAGUAAAUAAAAUAAGACAUAGGCUGUAUAAUCAAAUAAAUGUACAUACAAAAUAGGAUAAUUUUUCCCUAUCAAAAUCACUACCAACAUAACUACAUAACACACAAAAAAUAAAAGACAAAGACACAAAA